UGCCAGACUCCUACGGGAGGCAGCAGUGGGGAAUAUUGCACAAUGGGGGAAACCCUGAUGCAGCGACGCCGCGUGAGUGAAGAAGUAUUUCGGUAUGUAAAGCUCUAUCAGCAGGGAAGAAAAUGACGGUACCUGACUAAGAAGCCCCGGCUAACUACGUGCCAGCAGCCGCGGUAAUACGUAGGGGGCAAGCGUUAUCCGGAUUUACUGGGUGUAAAGGGAGCGUAGACGGCUGUGCAAGCCAGAUGUGAAAGCCCGGGGCUCAACCCCGGGACUGCAUUUGGAACUGUGUGGCUGGAGUGUCGGAGAGGCAGGCGGAAUUCCUAGUGUAGUGGUGAAAUGCGUAGAUAUUAGGAGGAACACCAGUGGCGAAGGCGGCCUGCUGGACGAUGACUGACGUUGAGGCUCGAAAGCGUGGGGAGCAAACAGGAUUAGAUACCCCUGUA
Molecule: ribosomal RNA, 446 nt
Filed under: uncultured bacterium
Lineage: Bacteria
Description: bacterial SSU rRNA
Rfam family: Bacterial small subunit ribosomal RNA
Source: RNAcentral